RNAcentral lists this ribosomal RNA (194 nucleotides) under uncultured bacterium. RNAcentral describes it as "partial 16S ribosomal RNA". It matches the Rfam family "Bacterial small subunit ribosomal RNA", at positions 338 to 524 of the family's 1533-position model. The record is from RNAcentral.
CCUACGGGAGGCAGCAGUGGGGAAUAUUGCACAAUGGGCGCAAGCCUGAUGCAGCCAUGCCGCGUGUAUGAUGAAGGCCUUCGGGUUGUAAAGUACUUUCAGCGGGGAGGAAGGGAGUAAAGUUAAUACCUUUGCUCAUUGACGUUACCCGCAGAAGAAGCACCGGCUAACUCCGUGCCAGCAGCCGCGGUAAU